UGAUCAUCAGCAAUUGUUAAAAAAUAAUGAUCUGCUUCGAGAGAGGCCACAAAAAAUGGUCCCCAAGUAUCCAUAUGUAAUAUAUCAAAACAUGACUCAACAAACUUGUGAUCGGAUGGAAAAGGUAAAUGAGUUUGUUUAGCCAUAUAACAAGUAUCACAAUGGUGUUUUGUAGAGAAAAUGGAAAUAUUCGGAUCCAUGUUACGCAACAAAACAAGAUGUUGGUUUGAUAGAUGUGCCAGCCUUAGGUGCCAUAAUUUCGGUCCCAAAAUAGUAAGAGAAUGUGCAGCUAGUAGGCGCUGGUAUGACUCGAUCUCAUGGUCACUCUCCUGUGGGUAGUUAGUGCACCUCUUUAACAACUCCAAUCAUCCUCUAAUGGACUAGCUCCUGAAUGAAACAGUAACCAAAUAAGAACACAAGACAACAAUGGAGAUUUUUGGUCAGUUUGCGAGUUGAUAUCAGAUUGAAUCUAAAACUUGGUACAUACAAAACAUUGUCAAGAGUAAGAGUGAAUGAAAUGUGGAUAGUUCCUAUAUAUGUGAUAGCAAUCAUAAUACCAUUUGGUAAUCUAAUAGACGUGUUCAAGAGGGAUUUCUUAUGUGUAAACAUGUCAAAUGAAUAACUAUAUGGUUAGUUGCACCUGAAUCUAAAAUCCAAGAAUUUGAGUAAGCCUCAGUUGACAUGCAGCUGAGGGAGUUGCUUUUUGAAACAGGGGAAAUGAUGGGAUUUUUACCUAUCAUGUCUGAAUGUUGGUUACCUAUGGGUUCUAAAGUGGAGCUGGCUUGAGGAGAUCAUUUGCAGCAGCAAGACUCGCUGUUUGUUAUCUUUUCCAGAUGUUGCAGUGGCCUUGUAGAGCUUGUGGUUGCGUGGAUUUCCAUUAAUCUCCCAAUAAUUGUCUAUGGAAUGGUUGGUGCCACCACAUUUCUUACAUGGAGCUUUGUUUUUUGAUCAUGUCCCCUUGAAAUUAUUCUUCUGUCCUUGCUUGGAAAAAAUUUUCUAGUUUUGAACUGUUCAAAGAACAUGGUAGUAGACUCAACAGUGGUUUUGCUGCUAUUGAUCAGCUCCUGGUUAGCUUCGUAUUGUAAAAUGAAGUUGAAAUCUUUGUCAAGUGGUGGCAAUGGAUCCCUGAGAAAGAUCUAGUUCCUCAGCCCAUUGUAAGUUUCGUCCAAACCCAUCAAAAAUUGCAUAAUCUGUCUUCUCACUUGCCUCUUCAUGAUCAUGGAAACAGCUCCACAAUGAGUUACCAUGCAGUUAAUUGGUUCCUUAUAUCUCAAUAUUUC
This 1280-nucleotide long non-coding RNA is filed under the name Olea europaea subsp. europaea. Lineage: Eukaryota; Viridiplantae; Streptophyta; Magnoliopsida; Lamiales; Oleaceae. The record is from RNAcentral.